Molecule: small RNA, 32 nt
Filed under: Bombyx mori (domestic silkworm)
Lineage: Eukaryota; Metazoa; Arthropoda; Insecta; Lepidoptera; Bombycidae
Description: ovarian small RNA-10120
Source: RNAcentral
AAAUAUACUUUAGCUUUAAGGUAGCCCCAAAA